AGUCUAUAGAGAUUAUUGUAGAUGUAUUCUGCCCACUGUGAUUCAUCAAGGGCCGCAGAACUUUAACUGUGCUAAGGUAGCGUAAUAGUUUGUCUUUUAAAUGGAGAAUAGUAUGAAAGGAAAGACGUGGCUUAGCUGUCUCAAAGUAAUUUCUUAGAAUUUAAUUAGUAGGUGAAAAUUCCUACUUGAAGAAAAAAGACGAGAAGACCCUGAGAGUUUUAACUAAUGGGUUUAUUAAACCUAGAGUUUUUGUUGGGGCAACAAAGGAACAAGCAAUUUCCUUUAUUUACCUAUCCCUCCUAGGAUUAUGAUCAAACUACCUCAGGGAUAACAGCAUUAUUUUUUAUAAAGCUUGUGACCUCGAUGUUGGACUAGGAAAAGAUAGGUUCAGAAGACUUUUCUUUAGGCUCUGUUCGAGCGACUUCUCCU
This 429-nucleotide ribosomal RNA is filed under the name Siphonaria sp. UF 303696. RNAcentral describes it as "partial 16S ribosomal RNA". It matches the Rfam family "Archaeal large subunit ribosomal RNA", at positions 1918 to 2665 of the family's 2987-position model. The record is from RNAcentral. Lineage: Eukaryota; Metazoa; Mollusca; Gastropoda; Siphonariida; Siphonariidae.